This 67-nucleotide transfer RNA is filed under the name Oxypoda opaca. RNAcentral's name for it is "tRNA-Leu". Lineage: Eukaryota; Metazoa; Arthropoda; Insecta; Coleoptera; Staphylinidae. The record is from RNAcentral. RNAcentral also lists the same sequence under 1 other name.
AUUAUUUUGGCAGAUUAGUGCAUUAAAUUUAGAAUUUAAUUAUGUAAAUAAAAUUUACAAAUAAUAC